RNAcentral lists this ribosomal RNA (429 nucleotides) under Chloroflexota bacterium. RNAcentral describes it as "Chloroflexi bacterium partial 16S ribosomal RNA". It matches the Rfam family "Bacterial small subunit ribosomal RNA", at positions 355 to 776 of the family's 1533-position model. The record is from RNAcentral. Lineage: Bacteria; Bacillati; Chloroflexota.
UGGGGAAUAUUGCACAAUGGGCGCAAGCCUGAUGCAGCCAUGCCGCGUGUGUGAAGAAGGCCUUCGGGUUGUAAAGCACUUUCAGCGGGGAGGAAGGCGUUAAGGUUAAUAACCUUGGCGAUUGACGUUACCCGCAGAAGAAGCACCGGCUAACUCCGUGCCAGCAGCCGCGGUAAUACGGAGGGUGCAAGCGUUAAUCGGAAUUACUGGGCGUAAAGCGCACGCAGGCGGUCUGUCAAGUCGGAUGUGAAAUCCCCGGGCUCAACCGGGGAGGGUCAUUGGAAACUGGGAGACUUGAGUGCAGAAGAGGAGAGUGGAAUUCCAUGUGUAGCGGUGAAAUGCGUAGAUAUAUGGAGGAACACCAGUGGCGAAGGCGGCUCUCUGGUCUGUAACUGACGCUGAGGCUCGAAAGCGUGGGGAGCAAACAGG